Molecule: ribosomal RNA, 567 nt
Filed under: Syngnathus watermeyeri (river pipefish)
Lineage: Eukaryota; Metazoa; Chordata; Actinopteri; Syngnathiformes; Syngnathidae
Description: partial 16S ribosomal RNA
Rfam family: Bacterial large subunit ribosomal RNA
Source: RNAcentral
CGCCUCUUGCAUUCUAUGUAUAAGAGGUCCCGCCUGCCCUGUGACUAUAUGUUCAACGGCCGCGGUAUUUUGACCGUGCAAAGGUAGCGCAAUCACUUGUCUUUUAAAUAAAGACCUGUAUGAAUGGCAUAACGAGGGCUUAACUGUCUCCUUUACCUAGUCAAUGAAAUUGAUCUCCCCGUGCAGAAGCGGGGAUAUUAAUAUAAGACGAGAAGACCCUGUGGAGCUUAAGACAAUAGACGGAUUUUAUGUAGUAAACCUAAAAAGGACAUAAACAAGUUUAUACUCCCUCCAAUGUCUUCGGUUGGGGCGACCGCGGAGUAAAAAACAACCUCCAUGAGGACUAGGAUAUAACCUUAAAUCCCAGAACGACAGUUCAAAGAAACAAAACUUUUGACCUAAGGAUCCGGCACAGCCGAUCAACGAACCAAGUUACCCCAGGGAUAACAGCGCAAUCCCCUUCAAGAGUCCCUAUCGACAAGGGGGUUUACGACCUCGAUGUUGGAUCAGGGUAUCCUAAUGGUGAAGCCGCUAUUAAGGGUUCGUUUGUUCAACGAUUAAAACCCU